This is a non-coding RNA of Peromyscus maniculatus bairdii (prairie deer mouse), 1500 nucleotides long. NCBI's taxonomy places the organism in Eukaryota, Metazoa, Chordata, Mammalia, Rodentia, Cricetidae. The record is from RefSeq and is a predicted model, not a curated record.
UCUAGAUUAAGUGCUGCAUAUUUCCAGUUCCCCUAGAGUCCCUUUCACAUGCCCUUUCUCUUUAAAGUGAUGAGCUCUAUACAUCAGGAGACACAGGGUGGUGAUCUGAGGUGUGGCCUGGGACAGCAGAAGUAGGAGCUCUGCAGGAAGUCCAGAUGGCAGUGUGCCCACUUCCCCAGCAUAGAGGGUCUCUGUCCAGCACAGGAGGAGGAAAGUGACAGCAAGCUGGAGGAAAAUUGGUACCACAUCGGAUGGAAUGCAGAGAAUUUGCUCCACUUUUGAAAUCUGCAGGUUCUGGUGGAUAUGUUCAGACAAACCUCAUCUUCACCAUAUGUGCAUCCUGUGUCAUCUAGACAAGUGUUCAGUGAGCUGGGUGCAGGAAGCACAGCGCCUAGAAACAGACAUGUGCCUGGCCACAUCCCUAGUCUUGGAUCCCAAGAAUUCCUGACCUGAGUAUGUGCACACUUACCAUGAGUGACAUGGAGGGAAAAGAGCACCUCUCACCUCCCCUGCUUUGCAGACUAGUGUGGCAUUGUCAGAGCUCCAGAGGAACUCAGAGAUUCCACACACCAACAGGAGGCCAUGCUGUGGAGGACAAUGGCAUGGUUUCUCUUCCACCAUCCAACUACAGACAAGGACUCCAAGUUAACAACAAGAACUGUGGAAUCUACAGGAGUGGUCCCUUGUGACAGCCUCCCCAUGGGUACUUACUGUUGAAGCCUUGCCCAACUUAGACCCCUUUGCAUUUUGACAGUUUGGAAAUUCACAUAUGCCUCUGUGUCUUAGCACAUAAUCCAGAAAACCUGCCUGACCAUGUAAACAAAUAUCUCAGAGGAACCUUGGGAAUUAAAUGUGCUUCCCUUCCUGAACUGAUGAGUGGAUUCGUGAGAAGGGCAGUAUCCAUGGAUCACCUGUCCCAGGCCUCCACUAACAUGAAGAAGGAGAAAUUGAGGUCAUACCCUCGGCCCAUCUUUCACUGGUAUUAGACUGAGACAAUUUUCAAACAAAUACAGACGCACUUAAUUAGAAUAACAACAUAAUUUCUAUAAAUUGGCAUUCAGAAUGUUUGACCCCUGGAGGAGAGAAAUCUGAAGCUAUAUGAGCUCUCAGGUUCUACCAGCUGUUAUUCUAAAGGCAACAGAUGUUUGCACUUCAUCUAUACACUCAACAAAAUCCAGUCUGAUGCUCAAACACAAGAUGUAAAAACCAACUGGACCUAAACCUAGAAGAGAGGGCAGAGGACAGGAGAGAUUCCUCCCGACCAUCAUCUUCUUCUUCCAGGACUUCCCACCAAGUCUCAAAGAUCCACAAAGGGCUACAGGGAAGUAAUGGAGACAGGACACAUGGAACAUAACAGAAAGUUAAGUAACAGACCCAGUGAAAUCCUGCCAGCUGAUGUUCUCAUAGUCAACCAGGGAAAUCAAGGCAGAGAGAGUGGCUUGUCCACAAAUGACUGCAGAAGAAGAUUUAAAAACAAGAAUAAGGAACCCCUUUUAAAAA